Molecule: long non-coding RNA, 2926 nt
Organism: Pyrus x bretschneideri (Chinese white pear)
Lineage: Eukaryota; Viridiplantae; Streptophyta; Magnoliopsida; Rosales; Rosaceae
Exons: 3
Source: RefSeq, a predicted model, not a curated record
CACUAACCUUCGGAAGUGUUGAGUUCAAUUAUUUCCAAAUGGUGUUUGUAGUUGGCAUUAUUGUUUUGGAAAUGGUAGUAGAAUAACUUUCACGUGUUUGAACGAUAAGCUUUUGGGGAAUAAACAGAAUAUAAUUUGGUAACUUCUUUUAGUUGAAUUAAAACUUGGCCUGGGUUGUUAAAUUUCUCCAUGUAGAUACAUGGAUUUUGUGUUUUUGCAAGCUCUUUUUGUUUUGUUCAUAAUUGUUCUAGAACUUAUCACUCCUACUGUUUCAUUUCUUGCUGAGGAAGGAGAUGAUAACUACACUUUUUUCACGGUAGUUUAGUAAUGUAGUCUAUUACUUGAAAAAUAUGAAUGUUUCUUUCUCUUUUGAAAGUCCUUGUUAAUGCAGGAUGCAAGCAAAUUUUUAAAUAGUAGCUGUAGGGGUAAACUUCCAGUGGGUAAACUUCAAGGGGGUAAAUUUAGUGUGAAUAGUGGAAAUAAUCGUGAGGCAACUGGUACAGUUGAUGGGCUUUGCUUGACACACUAUAUGUACACACCUCGCAUUCCACAUGUCACUAGUGGAAUGUUAGACGGUCACCUCGUUUCCUUGCAUGAAGUUGAUGAGAUCAAGUUGAUGGAAUGGUAUGCACAGUCGUGCGAACUUAGAAGUCAUCAUAUUUUAAGUGCUGAUGUCAAAGUAAGGGACGAAAAGGGUCGUGUGUUCUUGUUGACAACUUGAGUAGACGGUUGGUUAAAAUCAUGGGUUAAGUGUAACCCAUGUUUUAAUGCAAGAUAUCCCUAUUUUCCAUUUUCGAACUUGUUACUGUUUGUGAGGUAAAUUUCGAGAAUUAACAUACUUAGGAUAAGGCUUUCUUUGUUGUUGUUGUUGCAUCUUAUAUUGUUGUAUCAUGUUAGGGAUAUCUUGUACGGUGAUGUCCAGCUGCAGACAAAGAGUGAUCAUUUAAAUAUUAAUCUUGACACGAUUUUUUUAGUGUCUUUUGGCGGGCAAUAUAGAGCUAUGUUCUUGCAUAUGCUAGUAGCUACAAGUCGGGAGGCUAAAUUGGAUUCCCAAGCAUUUGCUCUAUAUCGCCCGCCAAAAGACACUAAAAAAAUCAGGUCUAGAUUGAUAUUAGAAUGAUUCCUCUUUGUCUACAGCUAGACAUCCCUCAUACCACACAAGAUAUCUCUAACAUGAUACAACAACAUAACAUCAUACAACAACAAUAAAAAAGAAAGCAUCAUCCUAAGUAUGUCAAGUCUCGAAAUUUACCUCACUAACAAUAACAAGUUCGGAAAUGGAAGAUGGGGAUAUCUUGCAUUAAAACAUGGGUUACACUUAACCCAUGAUUUUAACCAACCGUCUGCUCGGGUUGUCAACAAGAACACGCGACCCUUUUCGUCCUUUACUUUGACAUCAGCACUUCAAAUAUGAUGAUUUCUGAGUUCGCACGACUGUGCAUACCAUUCCAUCGACUUGCUCUCAUCAACUUCAUGCAAGGAAACGGGGUGACCGUCUAACAUUCCACUAGUGACAUGUGGAAUGCGAAGUGUGUACAUAUAGUGUGUCAAGCAAAGCCCAUCAACUGUACCAGUUGCCUCACGAUUAUUUCCACCAUGCACACUAAAUUUAUCCCCUUCAAGUUUACCCUGCAGCUAUUGUUUAAAAAUUUGGUGUAAAACCUUGCUUGCAUUAACAAGUACUUUCAGAAGAGAAGAAAAUUCAUAUUUUUCAAGUAAUAGACUACAUUCCUAAACCAUCGUGAAAAAAAGUGUCUAGUUAUCAUCCCCCUCAGCAAGAAAUGAAACAGGAGUGAUAAGUUCUAGAACUAUUAUGAACAAAAUCCAUGUAUCUACAGGGAGAAAUUUAACAACUAGCCAAGUUUUAAUUUCAAGUAAAAGAACUUAGCAAAUUAUGUUUAUUUCCCCAAAAGCUUAUUGUUCAAACACGUGAAAGUGAAGGCAAGGAAGAAUUGUGGGGUUUUGAUACGAGAGACGAUGAUUGCGAUUGGCAAUCGCUAUAACCCCCAAUCCCAGGUCUUCUUCAUCAUCACCCUACGGUCCAAACCCUAGCUCCCCAAAUUCAAUGCCAACAACCGGCAGCAUUUGCCAUUCCUUCCUCCAACGCAUCCGCCUCACUCCCAGCCAGGGUCUCGGCCUUAUCAAAACUUCUGUUUCUGAGUCCCCAAGACAUGAUCAUGUUGACCCGAAAAGAAGGAAUAUAAGAGAGCAAUUAAACAAGUUAAAGAGGCAGAGUACAUGAGUGCAACUGAGGCAACUACUCAAGCUGUGUGGCUGAGGUUUGUACUUCAAGAUUUUGUGAAAAACAAACUGAAGCUACCCCUCUACUGUGAUAAUACAUAUGCCAUUGCUAUGACAAGAAAUCUUGUGUUUCAUCAAAGAACCAAACACAUUGGGAGAAGAUAUCAUUACAUUCGUGAGGCUUUGCAAUCAAACAUUAUCAAUCUAAUCUACUGUAAAUCAGAAGAAGAUCAACUUGCUGAUAUUUCACCAAGGCUCUGCCAAAAGAUAGAUUAUGCACACUCAGAGAGAAGCUUGGAGUUAAGCCAGCUACCAGCUUAGAAGGGAGUGUUGGUGGAUAAGCAUGGGAGUUGGAUCACAGAUGCAUUGCAGUUGAAGAAUGGAAGAAAGAAAUGGAGUUCGAAAGGUUCUAAGUGUUAGAAUAGCUGAAGUUCAAAUAAUGUAAUGAACGGCCAGGAUUAUAUCAUUUCUAGGAUGUAUAUUCUGCCACAUGUCUACUUUGUUAGAAGUUAAAUGAAAACAUGUGUUGUGCACGUGAUAAAUUGAUAAUAGUCACGCUGCAAGUGUGUGAGUGUGGGUAUGCAACAGCUAUAAAUCCCACCAUGUAGAUUCGAGCUAUGAAAGUAGCUCAAAGUUCAUCUCUCUAAAGUUCAUCUCUGAUAUUCAAUCUUUGAAUUCAUUUCAA